Molecule: microRNA, 22 nt
Filed under: Ornithorhynchus anatinus (platypus)
Lineage: Eukaryota; Metazoa; Chordata; Mammalia; Monotremata; Ornithorhynchidae
Description: oan-miR-124a-2-3p
Gene: oan-miR-124a-2-3p
Source: miRBase by way of RNAcentral
AAGGGCACUCGGUGAAUGCCAA